UGACCUCCAAUGCGCAAGUCAGUGGCGUCACAUCCUGGCAACGGUACUACCCUGGGUUCCGGGCAGGGGUGGAACUGGAUUCUGCCUGGAUGGGGAUCGGAUGGGGGUGGAGGUUUGAUUUGGGAAGCAGAGCACAGCAGCCCAAAUUUGUUGUAAUGGCGGCGGCUACAGAAUUGAUUUUGGGAACAGAACACAGCAGCCUGAACUUGAUUGUUAUUUUGGCAGCUACAGGCAGAACAAGAAGGCCAAACAGAAGCCUCCACCAAUUGUCCUCCCUGCAGGAAGAUCAAAUUGAACAACUAUCCACACAAAGAAGCACUUUAAUGAGAAUGAAAAAUCAGGUGAAUGAUCAUAGUACCUGGUUCUAACUUCAUACCACUGAAAGGGGCACUGAAGAUGGUAGGAGAGACAGUCUUGAAUUGCUAACACCAUCCCUGCCCCAUCUCCCAGUAGUUGCUGUGUGGCACGGAAAGAGAAUCUGUGUGUUUAAGGGAGAGAGAGGGCAGUGAUUGUGGGACUUUGCGUUGGAACUCACUACUGCCCUGUUACAGCAGAAAGCAACACCAGGCAUAACUCAGCCGGUACCCACAGAGGGAGCAUUUAGACCAGCCCUAACCAGUGGUCAGAACCUGAGUUCCACAAGCCUCACCACUGUGGACUAAAGUGGUCCGUGGUGCUAAAUGAAAGGCAGUCUAGGCCACAAGGAUUACAAUUCUUGGGCAAGUCCUGGUGCUGGGCUAAGCUCAGAGCCAGUGGACUUAGGGGGCAUGCACCCUAGUGAGAUACCAACUGGGGUGGCCAAGCGGGUGCUCGUACCACCCCUCCCUCAACUGCAGGUAGUACAGCUUGCAGCUUGCCUGUAGUCUCAGCUACUCGGGAUGCUGAGGCAGGAGAAUGGCGUCAACCUGGGAGGCGGAGCUUGCAGUGAGCCGAGAUCGUGCGACUGCACUCCAGCCUGAGCAACAGAGCGAGACUCCAUCUCAAAAAAAUAAAAUAAAAAAUAAAAAUAAAUAAAUAAAGUAGUUGAUCCAUGGGUAGAUAUAUACAUACAUACAAAUACGUAUAUGUGUGUGUAUGUAUAUAUAUGCACAGUAGAACCAGAACUGUUAACCCCCAUCCUUGUGGGAAACAGACUUAUCAACUAGACUGCAGUGCUUUUCACUAUAGUGCUUCUUUCACUUAACGCUAAGCUCAUGUGUUUCUGUUGCUUGAUAGCUCAUUUCUUUUUUUCACGAAUAAUGUUCUAUUAUUGUUGGACCACAGUUUGUUUAUCCGUUCACCUACUGAAGAACAUCCUGGUUGUUUCCAGUUUUUAGUAAUUAUGAAAUAAGUUGCCAUACACCCUUGUAUGCAAGUUUUUUGUGUGGAAGCAAGUUUGCAAACUAGUUGGAUGCAUACCUAGGAAUAGCAAGACUUGUGUUCAGCUUUGUUGAAAACAAACAAACAAACAAAAAACUGACAAACCAUCUUUGAAAGUGGCUGUACCAGUUUGCAUUCCCAGAAGCAAUGAGUAAGAGUGUCUGUUGCUCCUUAGUGUUGCCAGCAAGUGGUAUUGUUAGACAUUCUAAUAGCUGUGUAUCUCAUUGUUAUUUAAUUCACAAUUCACUAACGAAGAAUGAUGUUGAUGGUCUUGUCUUAUGCUUAUUUCCCAUCUGUAUAUCUUCUUUGGCGAUGUGUCUGUUCAGAGUUUCUGCCCAUUGAUUGAGUUUUUAUAAAUUUGUUUUCUUAUUGUUCAGUUGUAAGCCUCCUUUGUAGAUUUUGGAUACAGAUCUUCUAUCCGAUAUAUGUUUUGCAAACACUUGGUCAUAGUCUGUGGCUUCUCUUUUCUUUUUCCUAACAAUGUCUUUCAAAGAGCUUUCGAGGUUUCUUUUUUAUUUUUAGAAAGUCUAACUUAUCAAUUUUGCCUUUCAUAGACCACCCUUUUGAUGUUGUAUCUAAAAAAUUUAUCACCAAAACCCAGGUCAUGUAGAUCUUCCCCUAUUUUCUUCAAGAAGUUUUAUAAUAUUGCAUUUUAAAUUUGAGUCUAUAAUAUACUUUGAGGUUAUUUUUUGUGAAAGAUAUAAAGUUUUAUCUAGGUUCAUUUCUUUGCAUAUUGAGAUCCAUUUGUUCAGGUGCCCUUUGUUGAAAAGACUAUCAUUUCUCUAUAGGAUUAUCUUUGCAUCUUUGUCAAAAAAUCAGUAAACUAUAUUUUUAUGGAUCUAUUUCUAUUUUGUUCCAUUGAUGUGUGUCCAUUCUUUUGGCAAUAUCAUACUUUGUAGAUUGCUGUACCUUUACAGAACAAGUGGUGUACCGAAGCUGACAUCAACCAUGAGAAAUCAUAUUUCUAAUAGGUUCCUUUUACAUGAUGUGAAGAGAAUGGCAUUUUACCUCUGAGAUCUUCCCCCUGGAAGUUCAUACUCUCAUUCUAAUCAUGACAGACGUAUAAGACAAAUCCCAGUAGAAGGGCUUUAUGCACAAUAGCUGACCAAUGCUACUCGAAACUGUGAAGAUCAAAGUCAUCAAACGUAGGGAAAGUCUAAGACCUGCCACAGCUAAGAGGAGCCUAUGGAGACAUGACGAGUAAAUGUGAAACGAUGGUCCUACAUGAAACUCUGGAACAGAAAAAAAAAUGCAUUAGGUAAAAACAAAGGAAAUCUGAAUAAAGUAUGUGCUCUGGUUAAUAGCAAUGUGUUAAUAUAGGUUCAAUAGUUGUAACAAAUGUACCAUACUAAUGGAAAAUGUUAAUAAUAGAGGAAACGGUGUAGAGCAUAAGGCACUCAAUACUAGGUUUUCUAUUUUUCUCUAAGUCUAAAGCUACAGGUUGAUUAACAAUGAAAAACUGUUAGCAAACUACUUAAAGAGUAUUUACCAAAAAACUACAGCAAACAUCAAAAAGUUGAAAGUUACUUUUACUUUGAAAUUGUAAAAGACAAUGAUUCUUGCUAUCACCAUUUCUAUUCAAUACUGUAAUAGAGGUACUAGCCAGUGCAGUAAUGCUAAGCAGAUGAAAUCAAAGGGCUAGAGAUAAAAAAUAAACAAAAUUUGCCUAAUUAACAGAUGGUUUUUAGAUUGUGUAUAAAGAAAAUUCAAAAUAAGAGUAAAUUAUUCAUUUAAUAAAAUAUAUAUAAAAGUUGCAGGACAAAUAUCAAUUUACAAAAAAAUUAAGUUUCUGCAGUAACAGUAUGAAAAUGAGAAUAAACAAAAUAUACCUUGUAAAAUGAAUCUAACCAAAGAAAGCCUAAGAACUUCAUGGAAAUUAAAUUAAUGAACUAAUUAAGGCUUUAAAUAUAAAAUAAAUGGAUGUGAGUAUUCAAUAUUGUAGACAUGUUAAUUAUUUCCAGAAGUAAUGUACAGAUGAUUGCAAUCCCAAUUUAAAAAUUAAAGUCUUUAUGUGUGAAUGUGUGUG
This is a non-coding RNA of Homo sapiens (human), 3385 nucleotides long. The record is from RefSeq and is a predicted model, not a curated record. Lineage: Eukaryota; Metazoa; Chordata; Mammalia; Primates; Hominidae.